RNAcentral lists this microRNA precursor (68 nucleotides) under Ictidomys tridecemlineatus (thirteen-lined ground squirrel). Its description in RNAcentral is "miRNA (ENSSTOG00000029977.1)". The record is from RNAcentral. Lineage: Eukaryota; Metazoa; Chordata; Mammalia; Rodentia; Sciuridae.
AUCUGUAUGCUUGUAUGUAUGUGUACAUGUGCAUGUAAAUACAUUGCAGCAAUGUAUUUACAAUGUAU